AGAGUUUGAUCCUGGCUCAGGACGAACGCUGGCGGCGUGCUUAACACAUGCAAGUCGAGCGAUGAAACUUCCUUCGGGAAGUGGAUUAGCGGCGGACGGGUGAGUAACACGUGGGUAACCUGCCUCAAAGUGGGGGAUAGCCUUCCGAAAGGAAGAUUAAUACCGCAUAAUAUGAGAGAAUCGCAUGAUUUUCUUAUCAAAGAUUUAUUGCUUUGAGAUGGACCCGCGGCGCAUUAGCUAGUUGGUAAGGUAACGGCUUACCAAAGGCAACGAUGCGUAGCCGACCUGAGAGGGUGAUCGGCCACAUUGGAACUGAGACACGGUCCAGACUCCUACGGAGGCAGCAGUGGGGAUAUUGCGCAAUGGGGGAAACCCUGACGCAGCAACGCCGCGUGGGUGAUGAAGGUCUUCGGAUUGUAAAGCCCUGUUUUCUAGGACGAUAAUGACGGUACUAGAGGAGGAAGCCACGGCUAACUACGUGCCAGCAGCCGCGGUAAUACGUAGGUGGCGAGCGUUGUCCGGAUUUACUGGGCGUAAAGGGUGCGUAGGCGGAUGUUUAAGUGGGAUGUGAAAUCCCCGGGCUUAACCUGGGGGCUGCAUUCCAAACUGGAUAUCUAGAGUGCAGGAGAGGAAAGCGGAAUUCCUAGUGUAGCGGUGAAAUGCGUAGAGAUUAGGAAGAACACCAGUGGCGAAGGCGGCUUUCUGGACUGUAACUGACGCUGAGGCACGAAAGCGUGGGUAGCAAACAGGAUUAGAUACCCUGGUAGUCCACGCCGUAAACGAUGGAUACUAGGUGUAGGGGGUAUCAACUCCCCCCUGUGCCGCAGUUAACACAAUAAGUAUCCCGCCUGGGGAGUACGGUCGCAAGAUUAAAACUCAAAGGAAUUGACGGGGGCCCGCACAAGCAGCGGAGCAUGUGGUUUAAUUCGAAGCAACGCGAAGAACCUUACCUGGACUUGACAUCCCUUGCAUAGCCUAGAGAUAGGUGAAGCCCUUCGGGGCAAGGAGACAGGUGGUGCAUGGUUGUCGUCAGCUCGUGUCGUGAGAUGUUAGGUUAAGUCCUGCAACGAGCGCAACCCUUGUUAUUAGUUGCUACCAUUAAGUUGAGCACUCUAAUGAGACUGCCUGGGUAACCAGGAGGAAGGUGGGGAUGACGUCAAAUCAUCAUGCCCCUUAUGUCCAGGGCUACACACGUGCUACAAUGGUAGGUACAAUAAGACGCAAGACCGUGAGGUGGAGCAAAACUUAUAAAACCUAUCUCAGUUCGGAUUGUAGGCUGCAACUCGCCUACAUGAAGCUGGAGUUGCUAGUAAUCGCGAAUCAGAAUGUCGCGGUGAAUACGUUCCCGGGCCUUGUACACACCGCCCGUCACACCAUGAGAGCUGGUAACUACCCGAAGUCCGUGAGGUAACCGUAAGGAACCAGCGGCCGAAGGUGGGAUUAGUGAUUGGGGUGAAGUCGUAACUAAGGUAGCCGUAGGAGAACCUGCGGCUGGAUCACCUCC
Molecule: ribosomal RNA, 1504 nt
Filed under: Clostridium botulinum Bf
Lineage: Bacteria; Bacillati; Bacillota; Clostridia; Eubacteriales; Clostridiaceae
Description: bacterial SSU rRNA
Rfam family: Bacterial small subunit ribosomal RNA
Source: RNAcentral